This is a small nucleolar RNA of Meriones unguiculatus (Mongolian gerbil), 134 nucleotides long. Its record names the gene SNORA70. It matches the Rfam family "Small nucleolar RNA SNORA70". Rfam says of the family: snoRNA U70 seems to be exclusive to mammals and is a member of the H/ACA class of snoRNA which contain H (ANANNA) and ACA box motifs. Lineage: Eukaryota; Metazoa; Chordata; Mammalia; Rodentia; Muridae. The record is from Ensembl.
CUGUUACCAUAAGUAAGUCAAUUGGGUUCCUCUCCUCGUGGCUCCAAUCUACAAUGGCUACAAACAGCAGCAUCUUGGGAGUACGAACAGCCUGUUGUUUAUGUCGGUGGCCCUAAGGGAUCUUUGAGACACUC